This 379-nucleotide ribosomal RNA is filed under the name uncultured bacterium. RNAcentral describes it as "bacterial SSU rRNA". It matches the Rfam family "Bacterial small subunit ribosomal RNA", at positions 28 to 412 of the family's 1533-position model. The record is from RNAcentral.
GACGAACGCUGGCGGCGUGCUUAACACAUGCAAGUCGAGCGGUAAGGCCCUUUCGGGGGUACACGAGCGGUGAACGGGUGAGUAACACGUGGGUGACCUGCCCUCAGCUCUGGGAUAAGCCUGGGAAACUGGGUCUAAUACUGGAUAUGACUCCACGGUGCAUGUCGUGGGGUGGAAAGCCUUGUGCGGCUGAGGAUGGGCCCGCGGCCUAUCAGCUUGUUGGUGGGGGAUGGCCUACCAAGGCGACGACGGGUAGCCGGCCUGAGAGGGCGACCGGCCACACUGGACUGAGACACGGCCAGACUCCUACGGGAGGCAGCAGUGGGGAAUCUUGCGCAAGUGGCGAAAGCCUGACGCAGCGACGCCGCGUGAGGAUGAC